RNAcentral lists this ribosomal RNA (267 nucleotides) under Sphingomonas sp. rp15. RNAcentral's name for it is "partial 16S ribosomal RNA". It matches the Rfam family "Bacterial small subunit ribosomal RNA", at positions 8 to 300 of the family's 1533-position model. Lineage: Bacteria; Pseudomonadati; Pseudomonadota; Alphaproteobacteria; Sphingomonadales; Sphingomonadaceae. The record is from RNAcentral.
AGAGUUUGAUCCUGGCUCAGAACGAACGCUGGCGGCAUGCCUAACACAUGCAAGUCGAACGAUUGCCUUCGGGUGAUAGUGGCGCACGGGUGCGUAACGCGUGGGAAUCUGCCCUUAGGUUCGGAAUAACAGCUGGAAACGGCUGCAUAAUACCGGAUGAUAUCGCGAGAUCAAAGAUUUAUCGCCUGAGGAUGAGCCCGCGUUGGAUUAGGUAGUUGGUGGGGUAAAGGCCUACCAAGCCGACGAUCCAUAGCUGGUCUGAGAGGA